Molecule: ribosomal RNA, 262 nt
Filed under: Escherichia coli
Lineage: Bacteria; Pseudomonadati; Pseudomonadota; Gammaproteobacteria; Enterobacterales; Enterobacteriaceae
Description: partial 16S ribosomal RNA
Rfam family: Bacterial small subunit ribosomal RNA
Source: RNAcentral
AAAUUGAAGAGUUUGAUCAUGGCUCAGAUUGAACGCUGGCGGCAGGCCUAACACAUGCAAGUCGAACGGUAACAGGAAGCAGCUUGCUGUUUCGCUGACGAGUGGCGGACGGGUGAGUAAUGUCUGGGAAACUGCCUGAUGGAGGGGGAUAACUACUGGAAACGGUAGCUAAUACCGCAUAACGUCGCAAGACCAAAGAGGGGGACCCUCGGGCCUCUUGUCAUCGGAUGUGCCCAGAUGGGAUUAGCUUGUUGGUGGGGUA